AUUGAACGCUGGCGGCAUGCCUUACACAUGCAAGUCGAACGGCAGCACGGGAGCAAUCCUGGUGGCGAGUGGCGAACGGGUGAGUAAUAUAUCGGAACGUGCCCAGUCGUGGGGGAUAACGCAGCGAAAGCUGUGCUAAUACCGCAUACGAUCUACGGAUGAAAGCGGGGGAUCGCAAGACCUCGCGCGAUUGGAGCGGCCGAUAUCAGAUUAGCUAGUUGGUGGGGUAAAGGCCCACCAAGGCGACGAUCUGUAGCUGGUCUGAGGGGACGACCAGCCACACUGGAACUGAGACACGAUCCAGACUCCUACGGGAGGCAGCAGUGGGGAAUUUUGGACAAUGGGCGAAAGCCUGAUCCAGCAAUGCCGCGUGCAGGACGAAGGCCUUCGGGUUGUAAACUGCUUUUGUACGGAACGAAACGGUCUCUUCUAAUAAAGGGGGCUAAUGACGGUACCGUAAGAAUAAGCACCGGCUAACUACGUGCCAGCAGCCGCAGUAA
Molecule: ribosomal RNA, 500 nt
Filed under: uncultured bacterium
Lineage: Bacteria
Description: partial 16S ribosomal RNA
Rfam family: Bacterial small subunit ribosomal RNA
Source: RNAcentral